Molecule: ribosomal RNA, 104 nt
Filed under: uncultured bacterium
Lineage: Bacteria
Description: partial 16S ribosomal RNA
Rfam family: Bacterial small subunit ribosomal RNA
Source: RNAcentral
UGGGUAGGUAGGCUCACCUAGGCGACGAUCCCUAGCUGGUCUGAGAGGAUGACCAGCCACACUGGAACUGAGACACGGUCCAGACUCCUACGGGAGGCAGCAUG